RNAcentral lists this ribosomal RNA (449 nucleotides) under Plumeria alba. Its description in RNAcentral is "eukaryotic LSU rRNA". The stretch from base 293 to 449 matches the Rfam family "Eukaryotic large subunit ribosomal RNA", at positions 1 to 157 of the family's 3401-position model. Lineage: Eukaryota; Viridiplantae; Streptophyta; Magnoliopsida; Gentianales; Apocynaceae. The record is from RNAcentral.
AGUUGCGCCCAAAGCCAUUAGGCCGAGGGCACGUCUGCCUGGGCGUCACGCAUCGCGUCGCCCUCCCCGUCCUCGGACCCUACGGGGCCGAGAGUAGCGCGGGAGGGCGGAAAAUGGCCUCCCGUUCCUUCCCGUGCGGUCGGCCUAAACUCGAGUCCCUUGCUGCGGACGUCACGACAAGUGGUGGUCGAAACCCUCAACCGGAACGCAAGUCGUGCGUGCCCCGCGGCAUCGCGGACUCUCCAGACCCACCGGCGAGCCCCCUCCCUCGAGGCGUGCCUUGCCACGACCGCGACCCCAGGUCAGGCGGGACUACCCGCUGAGUUUAAGCAUAUCAAUAAGCGGAGGAAGAGAAACUAACAAGGAUUCCCUUAGUAACGGCGAGCGAACCGGGAAAAGCCCAAGCUUAGAAUCGAGCGGCUUCGUCGUUCGAAUUGUAGUCUGGAGAA